Molecule: long non-coding RNA, 376 nt
Filed under: Zonotrichia albicollis (white-throated sparrow)
Lineage: Eukaryota; Metazoa; Chordata; Aves; Passeriformes; Passerellidae
Description: lncRNA (ENSZALG00000003864.1)
Source: RNAcentral
UAACUAACAGCAUAGAGUUUGUGCCUUGAGGUUCAGCUUUGCUGUUGUUAUAUUGCUGUCACAUGGUUUUAUGCUAAUCUUUUAGAUUAAAUGGUAAAUAUAGAAGUCUUUAUUCAAUUAACAAAGAAGUAGUCAUUAAGGGAUGGUGAUUGAAAUAAAAUGGUGAGAAAUAUUAUCCUCUUAAAUAAGAAAUUACUGCAUGAGUGGACAAAAGCAGUACAGCAAGGGAUGGAAUAAAACUGGAAAAGAGCAAAAGCAAAUGAGACAUGCCUCAGAUCUCUGUUUAGAAGGAACUUUUGAUAAGAAACUGGUCAGCCGUUCUGAGAGUGGUGGAAAGCCUGUCAAGGUCACUACCAAGGACAAGAGAGUCAAUUAG